GAUGAACGCUGGCGGCGUGCCUAAUACAUGCAAGUCGAGCGAACAGAUGAGGAGCUUGCUCCUCUGACGUUAGCGGCGGACGGGUGAGUAACACGUGGAUAACCUACCUAUAGACUGGGAUAACUUCGGGAAACCGGAGCUAAUACCGGAUAAUAUAUUGAACCGCAUGGUUCAAUAGUGAAAGACGGUUUUGCUGUCACUUAUAGAUGGAUCCGCGCCGCAUUAGCUAGUUGGUAAGGUAACGGCUUACCAAGGCGACGAUGCGUAGCCGACCUGAGAGGGUGAUCGGCCACACUGGAACUGAGACACGGUCCAGACUCCUACGGGAGGCAGCAGUAGGGAAUCUUCCGCAAUGGGCGAAAGCCUGACGGAGCAACGCCGCGUGAGUGAUGAAGGUCUUCGGAUCGUAAAACUCUGUUAUUAGGGAAGAACAAAUGUGUAAGUAACUAUGCACGUCUUGACGGUACCUAAUCAGAAAGCCACGGCUAACUACGUG
RNAcentral lists this ribosomal RNA (496 nucleotides) under uncultured bacterium. RNAcentral describes it as "partial 16S ribosomal RNA". It matches the Rfam family "Bacterial small subunit ribosomal RNA", at positions 28 to 507 of the family's 1533-position model. The record is from RNAcentral.